Molecule: ribosomal RNA, 518 nt
Filed under: uncultured Gigasporaceae
Lineage: Eukaryota; Fungi; Glomeromycota; Glomeromycetes; Diversisporales; Gigasporaceae
Description: SSU rRNA
Rfam family: Eukaryotic small subunit ribosomal RNA
Source: RNAcentral
AGCAGCCGCGGUAAUUCCAGCUCCAAUAGCGUAUAUUAAAGUUGUUGCAGUUAAAAAGCUCGUAGUUGAAUUUCGGGGUUCUACCGUUGGUCGGGCAAUAGUCUGUACUGGCGUGUAGAAUUUCUACCUUCUGGGGAACCAUCAUGUUAUUUAUUUAGCGUGGUGGGAAACCAGAACCUUUACCUUGAAAAAAUUAGAGUGUUCAAAGCAGGCUUACGUCUGAAUACAUUAGCAUGGAAUAAUAAAAUAGGACGGUGGUCCUGUUUUGUUGGUUUCUGAAUCACCGUAAUGAUUAAUAGGGAUAGUUGGGGGCAUUAGUAUUCAAUUGUCAGAGGUGAAAUUCUUGGAUUUAUUGAAGACUAACUUCUGCGAAAGCAUUUGCCAAGGAUGUUUUCAUUAAUCAAGAACGAAAGUUAGGGGAUCGAAGACGAUCAGAUACCGUCGUAGUCUUAACCAUAAACUAUGCCGACUAGGGAUCGGACGAUGUUAAUUUUUCUUGACUCGUUCGGCGCCUUACG